RNAcentral lists this long non-coding RNA (263 nucleotides) under Arachis ipaensis. Its description in RNAcentral is "long non-coding RNA (AIPA_LNC000461)". Lineage: Eukaryota; Viridiplantae; Streptophyta; Magnoliopsida; Fabales; Fabaceae. The record is from RNAcentral.
CACUUUUUCAUCACCUUCAACUUCAACUUCAUCAUCACCAUUACCAUCACCAUCAACAUCAAAAUCUCCGCUUACCUUAUCAAUCUCACUCUCUUUCACAUUCUCAUUCUAGCCAUAAUCCUCAUCAUCAUCCCAACCAUCAUUAUCAUCACUCCCUUGUGCUUCACCUGUUUCCGAGGCACAACCACCUUCACCACUCAAUUCCUCUCCACUACCAGCUACAAAGUCCGAAUCUUUCUUCUCAUUUUCAGCUACCCUUUCAU